GCCCUUGUAGCUCAGCUGGUAGAGCACCACCAUGGUAAGGUGGGGGUCAUCGGUUCAAAUCCGGUCGAGGGCU
This 73-nucleotide transfer RNA is filed under the name Spirochaetia bacterium. RNAcentral describes it as "tRNA-Thr". It matches the Rfam family "tRNA". From Rfam's summary of the family: Transfer RNA (tRNA) molecules are approximately 80 nucleotides in length. Their secondary structure includes four short double-helical elements and three loops (D, anti-codon, and T loops). Lineage: Bacteria; Pseudomonadati; Spirochaetota; Spirochaetia. The record is from RNAcentral.